This 75-nucleotide transfer RNA is filed under the name Pedobacter sp. RNAcentral's name for it is "tRNA-Gln". It matches the Rfam family "tRNA". From Rfam's summary of the family: Transfer RNA (tRNA) molecules are approximately 80 nucleotides in length. Lineage: Bacteria; Pseudomonadati; Bacteroidota; Sphingobacteriia; Sphingobacteriales; Sphingobacteriaceae. The record is from RNAcentral.
UGGGAUAUCGCCAAGUGGUAAGGCAAUGGACUUUGACUCCAUCAUACGAAGGUUCAAAUCCUUCUAUCCCAGCAA